CAAACGUAAGAAGAAAAUGAUUACUGUCACCUUCGUGGCUGUCAUUACCGAUCUUGGCCUCCUGAGCCCUGUCUCUCUGUCGAGCUGGUUGGCCCCGCCCCACCAGGCAAGACGCAGAAGGCGGCAGCCCCGACGUCUGGCAGUUUGCUUUCUGGGGUUUAUUACAAAACUUUGGGCCAGAAAUUCCUCCCUUCAUGGAUCAAGCAACGGAGCUCGUCCUACUGAAGCUGGGGCUUUGGAAUCAUAGGACUUCGGUUUGAAUCCCAGAUCACCCAGUUUUUAGCUGAGGGGUUUGAGACAGUGUCUUUACAGUUGGAGACUCAUUCCCUCAUCCGUAAAAUGGAGACCAAAAUACUACCUUCCUCCUAAAGCUUGUGAGGAUUAAAUGAGAUCACCCGUGUGAAGAGCUUAGCAUGGAACCUGGUUCAUAAGGAGUUGUUACUACUAUCAAUAUUACUAUUAUCAUUAUUAGUUCCUGGCAGAACCAGACCUAGAAUCCAGGCCCUCUUACUCUAGGGGGACGUCCUGAGCUGGGAGGAGGAGCUGGUCCAGCUUCAUGGCAGGCUUCAAAGCUUUGCGUGAGCUUUCCUUUCAUCCUCCCGGAGGCCUUUGCUCCUUUGAGGAGUCCUCAGGCAAUUCUGGAAAUAGGGCCAGCUCAAAGGGUCCUCCGAGCAGUUGGGAUUGAACCAGCUUCUCCAGGCAGAGCUCCUGGCAUGAGGCCACACCAGGAGGCUGAGUCACUUGGGCAAUGACUCAGCCACACCCACCAUGAACUCUCAAUGACUCGAGGAGAAGAAUGGCAUGGAUAAUCUAGAAAAAAUGGACAGUGGGAAAGAACUCCAGUGCUCUCAUGGAGUGCACGGAUCAUGAUUUGCUGCACUGGGGGAGCCGCUGGAUGGAUUCAUUCAUUAUAGUCUCGUCUCUGGCUGAUACUAAAUCUACUUGUUCCUGAGAGCACCUGCGGCCAUCAUGACAGGCUCAGUAUCACAGGGCCUAGUGAAAGAAACUCCCUCUGGCCAAGGACAACAGAAUAAAAACGUAACUGAGUCCCAGAUAUGCUAGUGUUUUCCACCAUUGCAUCUCUAAGAUAUCAACAGGACCUGGAAAGAUGAGAGUGAGUUCACUGUCCCCCCAUGGGCUGAGGUUGCUGGAAUGCUGGAACAGAGAGAAACUGGGAGGUUUUAGAAUGCUCUGGCUUCAGAAUGAAGGGAGCAGAGUGACGAGUGCUGCAAGCUGCAUGGAGCGGCCAAUUGAAAAAGCUAUCGAAGUCAGAACAGCACUGGAAGCGUUGACCCUGAAGAUGCAUGCCUGGAGAGAGGAUUUUUUUCUCUUUUUUUGCACUUUUUAUUGCAGUAAUGCAGGGACAUUCUGUGAGUAGAAUCCAGGGGGCCAUCAAGCCUGCGUUCAGGUGGCUGUGCGGGAAGGGGUUUUGAUCCUGUUCUGAGAAAGCUGUCUUGGGGCCCAGGCAGAGAGCACAUUACUGUGUUAGAGCCUUGAGUGGUUAAGAGAAAGUUCUUGGUUGAAUUGGGAAAGGGACCUGUAAAUAGCUGUAAAAUCCUGAACUAGCCGUGCCUCCUUCUGUGCUAGAUGCAGUCCUGGAGGCAGAGGCGCAGGCGACUCGAGGUCAAACCACUUCUGCUGCUAACUUGGGCAAAUCACACCACCUCUCUGCACCUGUCGGUGAGAGGCUUGGCCUAAAUGGUAUGUCAGCCUCUCCUAGUCUCAGUUGUCUCCCAUUUGUGGAUGCCAUUUCAGGGAUAGAGAAAUCGGAGACUAUUGAUAAAGACUGCAAAAGUGCAGAUUUGCUCAUAACAUGGAAACUCUCAGAGAGCUAGUCCCUACCAGGGAAGGAUGGAGUGGUCUGCCCUGGGCGCUAGGAAUAAGGAAGAGCAUUGUUGAUGGAGAAUUUUAAAACAAUAAUGAAACCAAGGAAAAGUCAGUCUGCUUUUUAGGAUCACCACGCAUGGACAAUUCUAAGCAAUGUCAGGAAUAAAAUACUCCUCCUCACCUGGGUGGACCACUCCCACCAUCCCCCUCCUUGGUUUGCCACUGUUUACCUGAACAAUUCUCUUUUUAUUCAGUGCUCUUUCAAUUCCUCUGACUACAAAGGGGGAGAAAUUCGCUAUGGUGUUAACUCUUUCAUUACCACCCCUUAGUGUUGAUUUGUCUCCAGUAAAGAAGAGUGAUGAGUUACUUUGAGACACAGCAGUGGACCGGAGUGCAACCAAGGAAGCAGGAACAAUAAAAAUGGAGAGAAAAGAAGAUGGAGUGAGGUGUGGAAUGUGUUGAGUAGUGGCUUAGAAAGUGAAGCCCUGAACACAUGGUCUAUGGCCAGGAUGGGGACAGCUCCCCGAAGGCCCAGGUCAGGCUGGACAUGUGGUGCCUAAGAACAGACUGCAGCUGCAUCUCCCUUCUGCUUUCUCAGAUCCCUGGCACUCUGGAGCUUUCCUUUGCGGCACUGUAGAUGCAUUUCUUAGAAGUGAUCUGCUCUGCACUCCUCAUGUCACACCACCCACCAUCCUCCUUUGGGUUGGAUUUCCUUCUCACUGUGUCCCAGUGUCUAGAAUAUGAAGGGACUUUGCCACCCCUCUGGGGACUUGCAUAUCCUGCAUUGAUGCCUCUCUUCUGUAGGCUUGGUCCCCUUGGUGCCCAACCUCCUGCUUGAUGGUGUUGCUUUGGGGUGUGUUCACAUUCUCCAAGGAGCCCUUCCCGAAAGCAGUAAAAAUAACCUGU
This 2733-nucleotide long non-coding RNA is filed under the name Equus asinus (donkey). RNAcentral's name for it is "lncRNA (ENSEASG00005026941.1)". The record is from RNAcentral. Lineage: Eukaryota; Metazoa; Chordata; Mammalia; Perissodactyla; Equidae.